Molecule: long non-coding RNA, 355 nt
Organism: Lotus japonicus
Lineage: Eukaryota; Viridiplantae; Streptophyta; Magnoliopsida; Fabales; Fabaceae
Exons: 3
Source: RefSeq, a predicted model, not a curated record
GCGAGUGCAUCCCAUACACUAAGUCAACUGUCAGAUUCCAAAUCCGUAUCUGGUGAAGAGGAUUUUUUGGUCUUAACUAGCAGCAAGUCCAUUGCUGAACUUAGUGAUAUUAAGAAGGACUGUGUGUGUGUCGUGUAUGGAACCAUACUCCCUAUGGAAGAAGGUGUGGACUGGUGGUAUACUGCCUGUAGAUGCAGUCGUAAGGUGUAUGCUGAUGAAAGGAUGUUUUUCUGCGAGGGAUGUAAUCGCCAUGUUAUUGCAGUUUACCCAAGGUUCCGUCUUCAAUUGAGGGUGGAAGAUAACUCUGGCAGUGCUAAUUUCAUCCUCUUUGACAAGGAAGCCACAGCACUGCUUG